RNAcentral lists this ribosomal RNA (497 nucleotides) under uncultured bacterium. RNAcentral's name for it is "partial 16S ribosomal RNA". It matches the Rfam family "Bacterial small subunit ribosomal RNA", at positions 28 to 507 of the family's 1533-position model. The record is from RNAcentral.
GAUGAACGCUGGCGGCGUGCCUAAUACAUGCAAGUCGAGCGAACGGACGAGGAGCUUGCUCCUCUGAUGUUAGCGGCGGACGGGUGAGUAACACGUGGAUAACCUACCUAUAAGACUGGGAUAACUUCGGGAAACCGGAGCUAAUACCGGAUAAUAUUUUGAACCGCAUGGUUCAAAAGUGAAAGACGGUCUUGCUGUCACUUAUAGAUGGAUCCGCGCUGCAUUAGCUAGUUGGUAAGGUAACGGCUUACCAAGGCAACGAUGCAUAGCCGACCUGAGAGGGUGGUCGGCCACACUGGAACUGAGACACGGUCCAGACUCCUACGGGAGGCAGCAGUAGGGAAUCUUCCGCAAUGGGGGAAAGCCUGACGGAGCAACGCCGCGGGAGUGAUGAAGGUGCUCGGAUCGUAAAACUCUGUUAUUAGGGAAGAACAAAUGUGUAAGUAACUGUGCACAUCUUGACGGUACCUAAUCAGAAAGCCACGGCUAACUACGUG